CAGUCGCCACGGUAAUACGUAGGUGGCAAGCGUUGUCCGGAAUUAUUGGGCGUAAAGCGCGCGCAGGCGGAUCAGUCAGUCUGUCUUAAAAGUUCGGGGCUUAACCCCGUGAUGGGAUGGAAACUGCUGAUCUAGAGUAUCGGAGAGGAAAGUGGAAUUCCUAGUGUAGCGGUGAAAUGCGUAGAUAUUAGGAAGAACACCAGUGGCGAAGGCGACUUUCUGGACGAAAACUGACGCUGAGGCGCGAAAGCCAGGGGAGCGAACGGGAUUAGAUACCCCUGUAGUCCCUGUCUCUUAUACC
This 301-nucleotide ribosomal RNA is filed under the name uncultured bacterium. RNAcentral describes it as "partial 16S ribosomal RNA". It matches the Rfam family "Bacterial small subunit ribosomal RNA", at positions 509 to 808 of the family's 1533-position model. The record is from RNAcentral.